Molecule: ribosomal RNA, 460 nt
Filed under: uncultured bacterium
Lineage: Bacteria
Description: partial 16S ribosomal RNA
Rfam family: Bacterial small subunit ribosomal RNA
Source: RNAcentral
CCUACGGGUGGCAGCAGUGAGGAAUAUUGGUCAAUGGACGAGAGUCUGAACCAGCCAAGUAGCGUGAAGGAUGACUGCCCUAUGGGUUGUAAACUUCUUUUAUAUGGGAAUAAAAUGUUCCACGUGUGGGAUUUUGUAUGUACCAUAUGAAUAAGGAUCGGCUAACUCCGUGCCAGCAGCCGCGGUAAUACGGAGGAUCCGAGCGUUAUCCGGAUUUAUUGGGUUUAAAGGGAGCGUAGGUGGAUUGUUAAGUCAGUUGUGAAAGUUUGCGGCUCAACCGUAAAAUUGCAGUUGAAACUGGUUUUCUUGAGUGAGUGAGAAGUAUGCGGAAUGCGUGGUGUAGCGGUGAAAUGCAUAGAUAUCACGAAGAACUCCGAUUGCGAAGGCAGUUCACUGGACUGCAACUGACACUGAGGCUCGAAAGUGUGGGUAUCAAACAGGAUUAGAUACCCGUGUAGUC